This 792-nucleotide long non-coding RNA is filed under the name Numida meleagris (helmeted guineafowl). RNAcentral describes it as "lncRNA (ENSNMEG00000010163.1)". Lineage: Eukaryota; Metazoa; Chordata; Aves; Galliformes; Numididae. The record is from RNAcentral.
GGUCUUUGGAAGGGAGGAUUCCUAGAGGUGAAUAAUUCCCAGCUGUAAUCUACCGACAUAUGCCUCCAUAUCAAAGACCUGCUCUAAAUACAGAGCCAGAUAUGUCAGAGAAAAGGAUGAGACAGCAGGUGUUGACUUCUCUUGCUUUCUGAACCGCUCUUGCUCCUGUGUUCAUCAGGUAGAAGCAAACCUCAUAGAUACAGAUGGAAAAAACACCUGUCAGCUUCUCUGCAAGCAUAUUCCAUUUUUUUUUUGCCCACUGCUAUCUGUUGAAAGGGAUUUUCUCCUUUUCUGGCUAUCCACCUGAUAAUCUCAGUCUCUUAUGUGGCACACUGGUUUGCAUAAUUACUGUUAAUGAAGGAGUCUCCUGUGCAAGGGCUUGCUUUAUGAAUGGUUCUGCCUAGAUAUUAUAAAACUUUCUGGAAAAGGAAUCUGGCUGAUGACCUGCCUCAAAGACAGAUGACAGGAAUAAGUGAUCCCGUCCAGAGGAUGCAAGAAGCAUUUAAGGGUAUAUGCUCCUGUUAUUUCCUGCCAAUCUAUUUUAAUAGCUUUCCGGGGCUACAAAUGAAGAAGACAUGUCUUUUGUCACCCAUGAUUGUAUGUAACUGUGCACUGGCAUCAGGCAGCAACAAGAAAAGAGAAAAAAUAACCUGCAGAAUUGAACAGAAAAUAUGUGGGAUACAUCACCAAGUCCCACUGGAGAAAAACACUAGCAAAACACCUGCUGCAGCAGAAGUCUUUGUUAACUCCCCAAUGUCUGUGGCUAAGAAGAAGCACACAGGUGGCUCUUGA